AAGAUGGUGUUUCCAGUAAACCUUCAGCUAAGAGACAGUGUUCUUCUGAGUUCUGAUGAGUGUCAAUAUAAUGAUGGAGUCCAGUUUAUUCACAGGAGAAUAGGCUCCUCCAGUUUUUAAAUAUUAUGCCCCUCAGUGAGUCAAUGACCUGAUACUGAUACUGGUACUGAUACUGGUACAUAUAAAGGUGGUGUGUAGCUUAGUCUAUGGAAGGUCUAAUGACAGAAGAAUUGUGAUAUGUAACUGCUGGUCCUUUGUUAGGGAUAUUAUCAUCUCCUGGUUUCCAUAGCAACCAGUCAUUAAUGAAACCACAGACACAACAAACUUAGAAGAGAGAGGGAGGGAGGGAGGGAAGGAGUGAAAUUGAAGCUAAAGGUGAAUAUCUUAUUUCAAAGGACAGAAAAUAUCAAGAAAUCAUUUUUAAGGUUUACCGACACACUGACUGGCCCCCUUGAAUGGGUCUGGGAUUAUUGGUAAAAUUUUUAAUAUU
This is a long non-coding RNA of Amphimedon queenslandica, 490 nucleotides long. RefSeq lists it as uncharacterized. The transcript is spliced from 3 exons. The record is from RefSeq and is a predicted model, not a curated record. NCBI's taxonomy places the organism in Eukaryota, Metazoa, Porifera, Demospongiae, Haplosclerida, Niphatidae.